Molecule: long non-coding RNA, 3167 nt
Filed under: Sus scrofa (pig)
Lineage: Eukaryota; Metazoa; Chordata; Mammalia; Artiodactyla; Suidae
Description: lncRNA (ENSSSCG00000053201.1)
Source: RNAcentral
GCAUGUUGAAUUCCCAUGCCAGGGAUCAAACCCACCACACAGCAGCAACCUAAGCUGCUGCGGGACAAUGCUGGAUCCUUAACCUGCUGUGCCACAGGUGAAGUCCAAGAAUUUGUUCAUUUUUAACUUAUCUAUGAAGCAGAAACAGAUUCAGAGACAUAGUGAACAGACUUGGGUUGCCAGGGAUGGGGUGAGAGAAGACGAUGGGGAGGAAUGCAUUUGGAGUUUGGGAUUAGCAGACGCAAACUAUUAUAUAUAGAAUGGAUAAACAACAAGGUUCUACGUAGAGCAUGGGGAACUAUAUUCAGUAUCCUGUGAUAAACCAUAAUGGAAAAGAGUAUGAAAAAGAAUGGAUGUAUAGCAGUACAAGUGACGCAUUUUGCUAUACAGCAGAAAUGAACACAUUGUAAAUCAACUCUACCUCAGUAAAACUUGCUUAAAAAUAAGUUUGUUCAUUUUUAUGACUGAGCAGUAUUCUAGUUAUAGAUUAGUACAAAUAAAGCCGCUAUGACAAUCGUGUAAGGGUUUUUAUGAGGUCAUACCUUUUCACUUCUCUAGGAUAAACGUCCACUGGUGCCAUUGCCAGUUCAUAUAAUAAGUAUGUUUAGUUUUUCAAAAGCUGCCAAACUAUUUCCAAAAUGGUUGUACAAUUUUAUGCAGGUUCCCAGGCUAGGGGUCAAAUAGGAGCUACAGCUUCCAGCCUACACCACAGUCACAGCAACGCAGGAUCCGAGCUGCAUAUAUGAACUACACCACAGCUCAUGGCAAUGCCAGAUCCUUAACCCACUGAGGGAGGCCAGGGAUAGACCCACAACCUCAUGCUUCCUAGUUGGAGUCAUUUCUCCUGCGCCCCAGUGGGAACUCCGGUGGUACAAUGUUAUAUUCCUAUUAGCAAUGUAGGAGAUAGCCGGUGUCUCUGUAUCUUUGCCAGAUUUUGUAUUAUCACUUUUUUUGUUGUUGUUGUUGUUAUAGGGCCACACCCGCGACAUGUGGAGGUUCCCAGGCUAGGAGUCUAAUCAGAGCUGUAGCUGCCAGCCUACGCCACAGCCACAGCAAUGCCAGAUCUAAGCCUCGUCUUUCACAGCAAUGCAGGAUCCUAAACCCACUGAGUGAGGCCAGGGAUCAAACAUGCCUCCUCACGGAUACUAGUCAGAUUCAUUCCCACUGAGCCACAACGGGAACUCCUCACCUUUUUUUUUUAAGUUUUUUGGUGGCACCUGAAAGUUCCUGGGCCAGGGAUUGAAUCCAAGCUGCUGCUGUGGAUUAUGCCACAGUUGUGAAAAUGCUGGAUCCUUUAACCCACUAUGCCAGGCCAGGGAUCAAACCCACACCUAGGCUUUAAACCAAGCCACAGCAGUGAUAGCACCAAAUCCUUAAUCCAGUGAUCCACCAGGUAACUCCUUCCUCUCAUGUUUUUGUCUUUAUUUUGUUUUGUUUUGCCCAAGGAUGUCUAAUUAGUCCAGCACCAUUUGUUGACAAGAUUCUUUUCCUCCCCUGAACUGAUUUGUCAUCUUUUCUUGGAGUUAUUUUGCGGAGCAGUAGUUAAGGAUCCAGCAUUGUCACUGCAGCAGCUUGGAUCACUGCUGUAGAAUGGGCUCUCUCCCUGGCCCAGGAACGGCUGCAUGCCUGAGGCACAGCCAAAAAAAAAAAAAAGAAAAAAAAAAAAAACCAAAAUCUUGAUUACUGUAGCUGUGUAAGUAAGCCUAAACAUCAGGUAGAAUGUGAAGUUCCCAUUGUGGCACGGCAGAAACAAAUCUGAUCAGGAACCAUGAGGUUGCGGGUUCAAUCCCUGACCUCGAUCAGUGGGUUAAGGAUCCUGCAUUGCUGUGAGCUGUGGUGUAGGUAGCAGAUGGGGCUCAGAUCUGGCAUUGCUGUGGCUGUGGCAUAGGCCGGUGGCAACUGCUCCAAUUAGAUCCCUAGCCUGGGAACCUCCAUAUGCCAUGGGUGCAGCCCUAAAUAUAUAUAUACAUAUAUAUCAGGUAGAGUGAAUCUUCCCAUUUUAUUUUUCUUUUCAAAAUUUUUAUAGAUAUUUUAGUUCCUAUACCCUUCUGUAUACAUUGUAGAAUAAGCUUUUCUAUGAUUACAAAAAAACCUUGGUAGAAUUUUGAUAGGAGUUGUAUUAAUUGAUCUUCAUAUAAAUCAAGUUGGGGAAGGCCAAUAUCUUUAUUCUAUUGAGUCUUCCAAUCUGUGAGCACAGUAUGUCUCUUUGUUUUUUAGAUUUUUUCUUUCACUUUUCAUAAACAUUUUAUAGUUCUCAUUAUAUGGGCCCUUAAAUAAAUUAUUAGAUUUAUACUUAGGUGUUUGAUUUUCUUUAUUGAGCAAUUGUUACUGGAAUAAAUAUAUAUAUAUGUUUGUUUGGGUUUUUUUGGCCGCCCCACAGCAUAUGGAAUUCCCAGCAUAUGCCGGAUUCUUAACCCACUGUGUCAGGGGUUGAAUCUGCAUCUCAGCACUCCAGAGAUGCUGUGGCUCCUGCUGCACCCCAGUGGGAACUCUGGUAUAUAUUUAUUUUUAAUUUAAUUUAAUUUCUUUUUUUUCUUUUUUACAGCUGUAUCUGUGGCAUAUGGAGGUUCCCAGGCUAGGGGUCAAAUCGGAGCUACAGCUGAAGCCUAUGCCAGAGCCACAACAACACCAGAUCUGAGCCACAUCAGCAAGCUUUGCUGCAGUUUGCAGCCAAGCUGGAUCCUUAACCCACCGAGCAAGACCAGGGAUUGAACCCUUAUCCUCAUGGAUACUAUCAGGUUCUUAACCCACUGAGCAACAAUGGGAACUCCAGGCAUAUAUAUUUUAAUUUCAUCUUUCAUGUGUUCAUUGCUAGAAUGUAGAAGUACAAUUGAUGUUUUUGUGUUGAUUUUGUAUCCUCUGGUCUUGCUGAACUCAUUUAUUAGCGCUAGGAGUUUUUGGUAGCCUCCUACAGAUAUUCCACAAAGACAAUCAUCAUCUGCAAAUGGGGACAGCUUUCUUUACUUUUUUCUUUCUUUCUUUCUUUUGCCUUACCUUUUUUUUUUUUUUUUUUUUUUUUUUUUUGCCUUUUCUAGGGCCGCUUCCCGUGGCAUAUGGAGGUUCCUAGGCUAGGGGUCUAAUCGGAGUUGUAGCCGCUGACCUACGCCACAGCCACGGCAACGCAGGAUCCAAGCCGUGUCUUUGACCUACACCACAGCUCACAGCAA